Molecule: ribosomal RNA, 482 nt
Filed under: uncultured bacterium
Lineage: Bacteria
Description: partial 16S ribosomal RNA
Rfam family: Bacterial small subunit ribosomal RNA
Source: RNAcentral
AAUGAACGGUGGCGGCGUGGAUUAGGCAUGCGAGUCGUGCGAGAACCGUAGCAAUACGGGGACAGCGGCGAAAGGGAGAGGAACACGUGGAUACCUACCCUCAGGUUCAGGAUAGCUAUGGGAACCUAUAGGUAAUACUGAAUGAUAUCUCCGGAUCAAAGGUGUGAUUCCGCCGGAGGAGGGGUCCGCGUCCUGUUAGCUAGUUGGUGUGGUAAAGGCUCACCAAGGCAAAGAUGGGUACGGGGUGUGAGAGCAUGAUCCCGCUCAUUGGGACUGAGACACUGCCCAGACACCUACGGGUGGCUGCAGUCGAGAAUCUUCGGCAAUGGGGGAAACCCUGACCGAGCGACGCCGCGUGUGAGAUGAAGGCCUUCGGGUUGUAAAUCACUGUCGUAGGGGAGGAAAUAUUGGUGGGUUCUCCCAUCAGUUUGACCUAUCCUAGGAGGAAGGACGGGCUAAGUACGACCCAGCCGCCGCAGUAA